RNAcentral lists this ribosomal RNA (368 nucleotides) under Pseudandrosus caerulus. Its description in RNAcentral is "partial 12S ribosomal RNA". Lineage: Eukaryota; Metazoa; Arthropoda; Insecta; Coleoptera; Tenebrionidae. The record is from RNAcentral.
GAUACCCUAUUAUUUUUAGUGUGAUUUUUAGCUUUAGAUAUUAGUAGUUAAGAUCUUUAAAAUUAAACAAUUUGGCGGUGUUUUAGUCUGUUCAGAGGAACCUGUUUUUUAAUCGAUAGUCCACGUUGAUUGUGACUUUUGUUAAAAAUUUAUAUAUCGUCGUUUACAAAAAUUUUUAAAGGAUUAUAAUUUUUGAUUUUUUAUAUUUAGGCUUAUUUCAGAUCAAGGUGUAGUUUAUAUAAAAGUUAAAAUGGGUUACAUUUAAUUUAUUAAUGGUUUCAGGGUUUGGAAUUUUGAAUAAAUUGGAUUUGAAAGUAAAUAUUUUUUCUAUGAUUGUUGAUUUAGCUCUAAAAUAUGCACACAUCGCC